Molecule: long non-coding RNA, 6010 nt
Filed under: Sus scrofa (pig)
Lineage: Eukaryota; Metazoa; Chordata; Mammalia; Artiodactyla; Suidae
Description: lncRNA (ENSSSCG00000055700.1)
Source: RNAcentral
AAUCAAGGUAUAGCUGAUUUACGAAGCUUACACUUUUGGUCCUAAUACAGUAAGCAUUAUUGGACUUGCCCUCCAUCUAGUGCACACAUAAUUGGAGUUCCAAAUACGAGAAGGGAGAAACAUUAGGGCAAAAAAAACCCUUUAGAAAUGAUACAAAAUUACUACAAAUGUGGUUAAAAUGCCAGCAUAUUUAUCUAAGAAAUGCAACAAGUCCUAAGCAUUAUACAGAAAAGAAAAAUGAAAUAGAGAUUCAUCAUUGUAAAAUUACUAAAAAUGAGUGAUAAAAAGGAAGUAUUACAGGAAACUGGAGAAAAAAACAUUAUGUACAGGAGAUCAACUACACAAAUGACAUCUGACGAUCAUCAGAAACAGCAGAUCCGGGAAAACACUGAAGUGACAUCCUUAAACUGCUAAAAGGAAAAACUGGCUGUCAUCACAAUUUCUAUGUUUAAUACAAAUGUUCAUCAAAAACGAAAGACAAAGAAGCUUCCUAAUUAAGAAAAACUGAGAUCUUUUGCCAGUAGACCUGGUCUGAAAAAUGUGAACAGAGCUUCAGGUUGAGGAAAUUACACAUGACCUACACUAAGAAUGAAGAGUGACACCUACAGAAAAUAUGCGACAAAAUAUGUUUGUGUUUGUUCAUGGGUUAACUUCUUUAAAAGUAAAAAGAAAGGCGGGUGAAAAAUGCACACAAAGUAUAAAUUUUAUGAUAAAUGCUAAAUUCUAAACAACCUGCGGGCCUAUAUAUAAUAAGUGAUAUUUUAAAUUGGUCAGAAGUCAUGAAAGUUUGAGAAACAUAAUGGGUUGCUCAAGUAACUAGCCUGUAAAAAUGCAGUAGACCACAGACAUCUACAAUUUUGGAGACUUGCAAUUUUUUUAUGGUUACUACUUCCAACUUUAUAACCAUUUGUGUCAAUGGUUGACUUGUUAGAAAAAUAAUUGUCAUUUGCCCGAGUCAUCCCUCUGGAUACUGAAGUUUCAGAUAAUAAAGUUGGAGCUAGAGGAAGCUAUGAGAUCAGGAUCCUAAAAUAAGUGUUCUAAUGACCAAGAAGAGGGAGGAUUUCUUAGCCAGGAAAUUCCUUAUUGAUUGCCCACAAAAUGAGACAGAGUUCAUACAUUCAAAUAUUUUUAGUCUCAUAGAAGCAGGGAAUUCUGCAAGCGGAAGCUGAAAUGCUAAGUAAGAUGGAUGUCUUCCAGUCCCAAUGGACCUGUGCUGUGAGAUUCAAUUAAGUGAACUGUAGAGCCUUCACACACGCACGCACACACACACAAUCACAGAUAUAAAUAUAUAUGCGUGUGUGACUCUGAGUGAAUAUUUAUUUUUAUUUAUUUAUAUUUUUAAGGGCUGCACCUGUGGCAUAUGGACUUUUCCAGGCUAGGGAUUCAAACCAGAGCUACAGCUGCCUGGCUGUGCCACAGCCACAGCAAUGCCGGAUCCACUGAGCGAGGCCAGGGACUGAACCCACAACCUCACGGAUACUAGCAGGGUUUGUUACCACUGAGUCACAACGGGAACUCCCUCUAAGAUGAGUGAUAGUUUAGAAUCCAAGAAUCUUUUGAUUCCUUGUAACUGGACAUUAUGUUUAAUGUUUCAUCUGAAAUAUCAACAUAUGUAAUAGAUUUAAAAUGCUAAAGGGCCAUGCCAGAACACAAUAAGAAUUUUAAAGGAGAUGACUGAGAAUGAUUUAGACAACUGUUACACCUAACAAUGGUUAAGAAGUUUGAUCAUGCAAAAAAAUAUCUAUGGAGAGAUAUUUUUGCAUACAGUUGCUCUCCUCCCAUAUAAAUCCUGCCCUCCCAAGGAUAAUAGUGGGAAAUGAACUGCUCAGAGUACUUUAUGUGUCCCUGAAGUCUGUGGGACAUUUAAGAGGCUGUGACACAUGCCUGAAAGGUCUAAAAGCCAGAAGGUGGCAAUGGGCUUGAUGGACAUAAUAGAACACAUUUACUGAUGCACAGACAAGUAACUCCUGCCCCUUCUGAUCAAAGUGUGGGCAUCCUGGGAGCAACCCAUGUUAAACACAAGGAAAGAAUAUUCUCUAUGUGUACAUUCUGUCUUUUUUUAGGGCCACAUUCACAGCAUGUGGAAGUUCCUGGGCUAGGGGUUGAAUUGGAACUAUAGCUGCCAGCCUACACCACAGCCACAGGAAUGCCAUCUCCGAGCUGUGUCUGCAACCUACACCAAAGCUCACGGCAAUGCCAGAUCCUUAAACCACUAAGUGAGGCCAGGGAUCCAACCUACAUCCUCAUGGAUACGAGUCAAGUUCAUUACCGCUGAGCUACAAUGGAAACUCCUCUAUGGGUACAUUCUGAACAGGAGAAUUUUACCAAAAGAUGACAGGCCACUAACAGGAACUGUUGUAAUGUAUACUGAAACAAACAAAACAAACCAACAAGCAGUCUGAAUGGAGAGGAAAUGCAUGCGCAACUCAUAUAAUCAAUCUUGUCGAAGGAUUUUUAGAAGAACCAUGUGACGAACCAAUGAGAGAGUCAGGUGGAAGUAUGUGAUGGUUCUAGAAGAAAGGCAUUUUAAGACUGUCCCAUUCAAGUAGGAUAUUCAGCUCCAAAUCCAUUGGUGCCAGUAACCAGUUAGCUGGAGGGGGCAGAAGGAGAAGUGAGCAGGCAAAAGAGAAGAAGCCAACCACCCUGUCCCCCCAUGAGGGCAGCAAUCCCACUGAGUAUAGAUUCUAGCUGGAAGAAAGAGAAGAAAGCAACCCUUUCUGAAUGAAGAGUAGAGUUUUAAUUAACAUACUGAUGUGUCAUUUAAGCUGCUGAAAUGAAGCUGGCCUUAAUGACUGACAUGGCCCUAGGCUGUCUAUUACAUACAAGCUGAGAGAGAAGCCGUGGGCCUUGCCAGAGUUUUCACUGAGUUGCAAGAAAGAGCAUUUCCUUGCUACAUAAGCAAAGAGAAAGGGUGGGAGAGAAAUAUAAAUCACAUUUACAUUAUACCCCUCAUAUUAUCCUUGUUCAAAAUACAAAUCAUCUCCCAUUAAUGCAUUUUCCCCACAACUUCCAUAUAACCAGAAGCACUCAUUUAGUAUACUGGCAAUCCCCCACAACUAAUUAAACUUAUAGAUUCAAUACACAGUCACGGCUGUUAAUUUUCAGAAUAAUGCCUUUCUUGUCUUUAUAUAGGUUUCCCAGUGAAAACAGAAAGUGUCUAGGUUUUACAGUCAAAACAUUAGGGUGAAUUAUCUAAACCACAGUUUACUCAUAUGCAAACAGAAUGACAAUAAUUACCUUUUAGGGCUGUUGCGAGGUUUGUAUAAUUAAUCCAAAAAGAAUGAAUACACCUUAAUCAUUUAAUUUAUGCCGCUGUCAUUGGAUUGCUGCAAUUGUUCUCAAAAACAACAUUUCCUAAAUCAUUGCCUUGAGUUGCUUAGAUAGAAACAUAUGGAUAAAAUAUUAUAAAUAACUUCAAUUUUAUUUGAUGUCCAAUUUUUGCUUAACCACUGAGACUUUUAAUUUGACUAGCUAAUCAAAAAAGGGGAAUUUUAGAAUGGGAAAAUAUGGUCUAUUAAAUAAUUACAUAGAUCACAUGAUACAAUAACAAAUUUUAAAAUCAUGAAUUCCCUAAAGUGUACUUUUAAUCAAAAUCUAUGGGAAUAUUUAUAAAAGAUAAAUAUAAGGCUGAAAAAAUUUUUACAUGAUUUAUUGAGGCAAUGUUCACAUAAUAGUCAUCAUUUUAAAGUAAAAAAAUUCCACGGGGGAGGUGUGGCCGAGAUGGCAGAGCAGGAAGACUCUGAGCUCACCUCCUUCCAGAGGCACACCCAAUCAUAGCUGUUUACAGAGCGACUGUUGGUUGGGACAACCUGAAGACUAGAUGAAAAGCUUUCCACAACUGGAGCAAUAAAGGAAUUUCAAAAAGAGAGGCAGGAGAGGUACCGAUGCACUAAAGACUUACAAACGGGUUGCAGGUACUACUUGGGAAGCUCCCAAUGGAAGGAAAACCACAACUGCAGAGGUCCUUCCUAAGAAGCCAGGGUCUAAGUCACGCGGUAGGCUCUCCAGCUUGGAGACCCUGCCCCUGACUCAUGAGCUCCCAGGACAUCCGGCUUUGACAGCACUGGGGCUGGUGUAAAGGAGUGAGGAGUUCCCAUUGUGGAGGAUGCGGGUUCGAUCCCUGGCCUUGCUCAGUGGGUUAAGGAUCUGGCAUUGCCAUGAGCUGUGAUGUAGGUCCCAGACACAGCUCGGGUCUGGUGUUGCUGUGGCUGUGGCAUAGGCUGGCAGCUACAGCUCUGAUUUGACCCCUAGCCUGGGAAUAUCCAUAUGCCAUUGGGCACAGCUCCAAAAGUACAAAUAAAUAAAUAAAUACAUAAAGGACACAUGUGAAACCUCACAACCUCUAAGAGCAGAGAGGCAGUAACUUGAAAUAAGCCUGGGUGAGACCCACCUGCUGAUCUUGGAGAUCCCUCUGGGGAGGCAGGAUGCAACUGGAAUACCCUGGGGGAGACAGAUGCUGGUAGUAGCCACUUUGGGGAGAUUGCUCUACCACAAGGACACUGGUGAAGGCAAGUGUCAUUUUAGAGACCUCCCUCUAGUCUAUCAGAAGUGGCACUUACGUGCCCACUACCCUGUUGGCACAAGUCCCAGGACCCCUUCCCUCAGACUGAGUGCACAGCUGUGUGCAGACUCAGCCCCAAUCACCAGUGGGUUGGCACCAGCCCUUGACCUCCCCAAGCCACAUACUGUAACUUACCAGAACCAGAGCCUACCCAGCAGAAGGAUGGCAGCCUAUCCAAGAGACAGGGCCUGGAGCCAAGUGGGCCAGGACCCAGUUGCACCUACAAGUGUGCCCACAGUUACUGGCUCCACCACAAUGGAAGAGCACAUGCAGCCCACAUAUGAUGGGAUAGAGCUCUGGUGACCAGAAGGGACUGUGCCACUGGGCUCCAUAGGAUGUCUCACACAUAAAGGGCACUUCUCCAAGAAAUGGAAACACAAGCAACCUACCUAAUACAUAGAAAGAAAACCAGAGAAACAGACAAAAUGAAAGGGCAGAGGCGUUUGUUCCAAACAAAAGUACAAGAUAAAACUCCAGAAAAGAUGUAAAUGAAGUUAAGAUAAGCUAACUAUUUAAUAAAGAGUUUAAAGUAAGUUACAUAAAAAUGGUCAACAAACUCAAGAACGCAAAGGAUUGGAGUUCCCAUCAUGGCACAGUGGAAACGAAUUCAACUAGGAACCAGGAGGUUGCGGGUUCAAUCCCUGGCCUCGCUCAGCAGGUUAAGGAUCUGGUGUUGCCAUGAACUGUGGUGUAGGUCACAGAUGCAACUCAGAUCUGGUGUUGCUGUGGCUGUGCUGCAGGCUGGCAGCUGUAGCUUCCAUUAGACCCCUAGCCUAGGAACCUCCAUGUGCCAUGAAAAAGACAAAAAGACAAAAAAAAAAAAAAAAAAAAAAAAGAACGCAAAGGAUGAUCACAGUGAAAAGAUUAAGAAAGGAAAUAUGAACAAGUUGCAAACAGAGCUGAAGAAUACAAUAACAAAACCAAGACUUACACUAGAAGAAGUCAACAGUAGAUUAGAUAAUACAGAGAAAUGGAUCUAAACUGGAAGACAGAGUAGUGGAAAUCACACAGGCUGAACAGAUAAAGGAAAAAAAAUGAAAAGAAAAAAGAAGACCUUGGAACUAUCUGAGAAAUUAAGAAAACAAUCCCAUUUAAAAUUACAUCAAAAAUUAACUUUGCUGUUCACCUGAAACUAACAUUGUAAAUUAACUAUACUCCAAUAAAAUUAAAUUAAAAUUGUAUCAAAAAGAAUAAUACCUUGGAAUAAAUCUAACUAAAGAGGUAAAAGACCUGUACUAGGAAAACUGCAAGACACUAAUGAAAUAAAUUGAAGAUGACACAAACAAACGAAAAGAUAAACCUGCCAUGAGCUGUGGUGUAGGUUGCAAAUGCAGCUUGGAUCUGGCAUGGCUGUGGAUGUGGCAUAGGCUGGAAGCUGUAGCCUGAGAACCUCCAUAUACUAUGGGUGCAGCCCUAAAAAAAGCAAAAAAAAAAAAAAAAAAAAAAAAA